UCUUGGAUUAUCCAAGUAAUAACGGGUACUGACCCGAUUCACAAAAGAACUGCUGCCUGCACAAAUUCUGCUUGGAUCCGACACCAUUUGGGCGCUCCACAUCUUUUCUGAAAUCCCCCCACAUCUUUUUUUGAAAUCCAGCUUUGGUUACUUCUUUCCGUACUUUCAGGAGCCGUUAACUACAUCAUGUUCCAGCCAUGGAAGUUUGUGUGAGGCUCCUAGGUUAAUCACACUGCAUUCGAUAGAGCAUAAACAGUGUCCAUGGAAAAUGGUCGCAAACGCAUCCCAUUAGGUGAGGUUUCUCCUUCGUCUGUCAGACCGUCACAAAUGCGCAACGGAGACGAUCAUCGGCCACACGGAAUUCCCAGGACGCAUGAAUCUCAGGCAUCUUCUAAUCACAAUUUCUGGCUAUGGCCCUGUUGGUGAGCUUACCCUACCCAAUAAUAUAUUUAAGGCUUUGAAGUCUCUAUAUAUUACUGAGGUUUUCAAGACACGCUCGGGACUCAAAGUCCAACCGGAAUUACACAGAAGGGGUCCAUAGGUUCAAGCCAGGCAUCGGGUAUUUUUAGAUCACGUGUUCUUAUUUUCUGAUGCAUUCAAUAUAAUGUUGAUUUUUUUAAUUUAGACAGCUCAAAGUUAAGUGAUGCAUCUGUAUUGUUAGUGACCCUUAUCAUUAUUUUGUUUGAUUUUAAGUUUAAUUUAUCUAUUUCUUGAUUAUUGUGAGUAAAGUGUGGAACUAUAUUUAAUUUGCUG
Molecule: RNA transcript, 753 nt
Organism: Daucus carota subsp. sativus
Lineage: Eukaryota; Viridiplantae; Streptophyta; Magnoliopsida; Apiales; Apiaceae
Exons: 4
Source: RefSeq, a predicted model, not a curated record